This 403-nucleotide ribosomal RNA is filed under the name uncultured bacterium. Its description in RNAcentral is "partial 16S ribosomal RNA". It matches the Rfam family "Bacterial small subunit ribosomal RNA", at positions 30 to 526 of the family's 1533-position model. The record is from RNAcentral.
AUUGAACGCUGGCGGCAGGCCUAACACAUGCAAGUCGAGCGAGCGGCGGACGGGGGAGAAUUGUAUGGGGACUUCCCGAUAGAGGGGGAUAACAACUGGGAACGGUGGCUAAUACAGCAUACUGUCGGAUGACCCCUAUGGGAGUGGCUAGUGGGUAGGGUAAUGGCUUACCUAGGCGACGAUCCCUAGCUGGUCUGAGAGGAUGAUCAGCCACACUGGGACUGAGACACGGCCCAGACUCCUACGGAGGCAGCAGUGGGGAAUAUUGCACAAUGGGCGCAAGCCUGAUGCAGCCAUGCCGCGUGUAUGAAGAAGGCCCUAGGGUUGUAAAGUACUUUCAGUCGGGAGGCGUUACCGACAGAAGAAGCACCGGCUAACUCCGUGCCAGCAGCCGCGGUAAUUC